This 419-nucleotide ribosomal RNA is filed under the name bacterium. RNAcentral describes it as "partial 16S ribosomal RNA". It matches the Rfam family "Bacterial small subunit ribosomal RNA", at positions 355 to 776 of the family's 1533-position model. The record is from RNAcentral.
UGGGGGAUAUUGCACAAUGGGCGAAAGCCUGAUGCAGCGACGCCGCGUGGGGGAUGAAGGCCUUCGGGUUGUAAACUUCUUUUGCUCUGAACAAGGCAUGCUAAUGGGUGUGUUGAGUGUAGGGGUUGAUUAGCGCCGGCUAACUACGUGCCAGCAGCCGCGGUAAUACGUAGGGCGCGAGCGUUGUCCGGAAUUAUUGGGCGUAAAGGGCUUGUAGGUGGCUGGUUGCGUCUGUCGUGAAAGCUCAUGGCUUAACUGUGGGUUUGCGGUGGGUACGGGCUGGCUUGAGUGCAGUAGGGGAGGCUGGAAUUCCUGGUGUAGCGGUGGAAUGCGCAGAUAUCAGGAGGAAUACCGGUGGCGAAGGCGGGUCUCUGGGCUGUUACUGACACUGAGGAACGAAAGCAUGGGGAGCGAACAGG